AUAAUCGCUAUUGAAAAGUUAUAUAGAAAAAUAACAAAUAACACGGAAGUCUUCCACUGUAUCCUAUGACUUCCUGGUCAACUAUUAUGACCUCCUGAUCCUUGUUAUGAUGUCUUAUUAUGUUAUUACGACAUCCUAAACUUUGUUUGACUUAUCACUAUGAUGGGAAGUAAUAAUGAAAAACUAGAAAGUUAUAAAUAGGCAACAGAAUAUCAUAAUCGCUAUCAAAAAGUCAUAUAACAAAACAGC
This 249-nucleotide long non-coding RNA is filed under the name Elaeis guineensis (African oil palm). RNAcentral describes it as "long non-coding RNA (EGUI_LNC029695)". Lineage: Eukaryota; Viridiplantae; Streptophyta; Magnoliopsida; Arecales; Arecaceae. The record is from RNAcentral.